AUCUUUGGAAGAGUCCAAAUCAAGAAGAAGGAGGCACCUGAUCAACCAUCAAAGAAGGAUCAGCGCAGUACUAGCAUACUGUGCUGAUUUCCUGAAGCAGGACUUCUGAUCGAGAUUCGUGGGCUCGUGUGGACGAUUCCUAGAGGCCGGACGUGUGUGCGGCUUGCAACAUCAUCCUUAAGCCCGGAUCAGCGAGGUUAAAGCGUCUAACUUGCAAGGUAAUAGAUCUGAUCUAUUGUUUAAUACAUACAUUAGAUGUAGCUAGUAUAGAAACAUGUUGAUAUGAUCAACAUGUAGUUCAUACUAUAUAUUUAUAUAUUUUAAUUUUUGAUUUAAUGCCAUGUAAUAAUCAUGUAAUAGGAUCUUAGAUCUAGGGAUUCUCUGGUUUUAGAAAAUAAAUUUUGAUUUAUUUUAGUCUUCCGCUGUAUGAUCUUGAAAAAGUUUCAAGAUCUAACCCUGAAACCCUAGAUCUGGUUCCUACACCACGGUCAUGAGGCUCUAGUUUGUGGGUCUCAUGGGGGCUAAUCCAAGUUUGGACCAAAUUUUGGAUCCAUGAGGAUGAGUGCAUGGCAAGACAUGAGUGUAGAUGGG
This 591-nucleotide long non-coding RNA is filed under the name Elaeis guineensis (African oil palm). RNAcentral describes it as "long non-coding RNA (EGUI_LNC026163)". The record is from RNAcentral. Lineage: Eukaryota; Viridiplantae; Streptophyta; Magnoliopsida; Arecales; Arecaceae.